This 406-nucleotide ribosomal RNA is filed under the name uncultured bacterium. RNAcentral's name for it is "partial 16S ribosomal RNA". It matches the Rfam family "Bacterial small subunit ribosomal RNA", at positions 30 to 526 of the family's 1533-position model. The record is from RNAcentral.
AUUGAACGCUGGCGGCAGGCCUAACACAUGCAAGUCGAGCGAGCGGCGGACGGGUGAGUAAUGUCUGGGAAACUGCCUGAUGGAGGGGGAUAACUACUGGAAACGGUAGCUAAUACCGCAUACCAUCAGAUGUGCCCAGAGGGGAUUAGCUCGGAGGUGUGGUAACGGCUCACCCAGGCGACGAUCCCUAGCUGGUCUGGGAGGAUGACCAGCCACACUGGAACUGAGACACGGUCCAGACUCCUACGGGAGGCAGCAGUGGUGAAUAUUGCACAAUGGGCGCAAGCCUGAUGCAGCCAUGCCGCGUGUGUGAAGAAGGCCUGCGGGUUGUAAAGUACUUUCAGCGGGGAGGCGUUACCCGCAGAAGAAGCACCGGCUAACUCCGUGCCAGCAGCCGCGGUAAUAC